Cololabis saira (Pacific saury) is the source of this 938-nucleotide long non-coding RNA. RefSeq lists it as uncharacterized. NCBI's taxonomy places the organism in Eukaryota, Metazoa, Chordata, Actinopteri, Beloniformes, Belonidae. The record is from RefSeq and is a predicted model, not a curated record. The transcript is spliced from 2 exons.
GAAGCGGCUGAGCUCCGGUUUGCGCUGCGCGUCGUCCUCUCAUCUGCACCUCCUCGUCCCCGCCAGCGAUUCCAUCAUGGUGGACAUUCUGGUGCUGAUGUUUUUCGCCAUCAUGGGCCUCGUCUUCCUCUCCUACAUCAUCUACAUGCUGUGAUGUCGAGGCGUCUGUCUCCUCGCUGCACGGAGGAUGCGUGUUGCAACUCUCCUGCAUCCACAGCUUCCAUGAUGGACAUAGAUUGAAGGACCACAGGCCAGGAUGCUCAACCUUCCAGCUCUCAGGUGCGAAGAGCCCAGAGGAAAGCACAUGGAACCCAGAAUCUCCACCUCCUCACCUGCCAUCCAUCCCCCUCCUCCAUCCCCUCGGUUUAUUCAAUCCCCUAAAAUGCUCUUCUGCAACCGACCUGAUAUUUCCAGCUCUCCACCACUGUUUCUCUUGAGAGCAGGAGCAGUUUUACUGUCUGCAGAAGUCCAGGAUGUCCACGUGUGGAUGAAGGGUGGUUUGAAACUAAAAGUGUAGAAUUUGCCUUAUUUUUAUUGUUUUUAAUAACACUGUUAUGAUGUGCAAUUGUGAGUUUGGUGUUAUUCCAAGUGUAAUCAGCUCUUGGAGACCCAGCUCUCUCUUUGUUAUAAUUCAGUGUUGUUAAUAUGUUCUCCCAACAUUGUCUACCGUUUAAAAGGUGACAUGUCAGCACAAGAACUCAGCGUUAUUGUUUAUAACCUAGAUGUAUAAUAAUUAUCUGUUUCCAUUUUUGUUCCAGUUGUUAUAAAAAGGAACUGCAUGUAGGGAUGGUUCAGAAAUGCACAUGUGCUUCACAGCUCCAACAUCAAACCUCCUUUAUAUUGUUUAUUUUAUUGACAUUAUGUUUACCUGUGCAAUGGAAAUUUGCUGAAAUCUUUUUGAAAUUAUUUAUCAAACAAAUAAAGAUGAUUACAGUAAA